Long non-coding RNA from Macaca mulatta (Rhesus monkey), 4025 nucleotides. RefSeq lists it as uncharacterized. The record is from RefSeq and is a predicted model, not a curated record. Lineage: Eukaryota; Metazoa; Chordata; Mammalia; Primates; Cercopithecidae.
AAAAACAAAAAACAAACAAAAAAAGAAAAUGUGGUAUUGUGGUAUUCACGUAUAAUGGAAUAUUAAUGAGCCAUGAAAAACUGGUGUUCUGAUACAUGCUACAACAUGGAUGAACCUCGAAGACACUAUGCUAAGUGAAAUAAGCCAGACACAAAAGGAAAUCUAUUGAAUCAUUCUAUUUAUGUUAGGUGCCUAGAAUAAGCAAAGUCACAGAAACAAAGUAGAUUAGAAGUUGUCUGGGACUGGGGGAGGCAAUAAUUAAAGUUAUUGUUUAAUGGGUACAGAGCUUCUGUUGAAGGUGAUGAAAAAUUUUUGGAAAUAGCUAGUGGUGGUUGCACAUUGCAUCUGUAAUUAAUACCACUAAAUCGUGUACUUAAAAUUGGUUAAUACAGCAAAUUUUAUGUUAUAUAUUUCACUACAAUAAAAAAUGAGAUACUUAACAAGAUAUUUCUGAAAUAUCUUUGAACUCAUAUAUAUAUAUAUCUCCAUCUCCUGCGGCACAGCAGGAGAUGGCAGUGGGUGAGCCAGUACCACCUGAGCUCCGCCUCCUGUCAUAUCAGCUGCAGCAUUAGAUUCUCCUAGGAGCACGAACUCUAUUGUGAACUGCUCAAAUGAGGGAUCUAGGUUGUGCACUCCUUAUGAGCAUCUAAUGCCUGAUUCGAGGUGGAACAUUUCAUCCUGAAACCAUGCCCCACCUCUUCGUGGAAAAAUUGUCUUCCACAAAACUGGUCCCUGGUGCCAAAAAGAUUGGGGACUGUUGUGUUAGAAUUUGUCCACUAGAACGCUUCAAAGAUGGGAAAGCCCAAAAAUGGCAAACAGGAGGCUGCAGGCCAAAUCCAGCCAGGAGGUAAGUUUUGUUUGGCUUUCACAGUGUUUAUCAACACAGUAUUUAGGAUUUAAAAAAAUCAGUUGCUAAAAUUUAAAACAGGAGAGUAUCGAUAUAAAAAUUCUGAUUCCUGGUUUCUCUGGAAACAUUGAAUGAUCUGGUAAUACCAGACCCAUCUUCUCAACAGGAGUUAUGAAAUGGCUGCUCCCUUUAGGCAGUAUUUGAACUCUCUGUACUGUCUGUAUUGUUUUAUUCCCAGCUGGCUUUGUAAUUUCUGAUACUUGCAUUUGAAUUUCUGAUCCCUAACAUAAAACAAUAAUCAGGUAAAUUGUUUCUGAGGGCCCUGUCCCUGGGUUGUCAAUUUAUAUAAAGUAUUAAAUAUUUUGUUUUCUUUUAGUUUCUUUCUUGCUUCAUCUACAAUAUGGAAACAACUCUUCUAGGCUACCACAUAGGGCUUCAGAUUUCUGUAACUGACACAAAUAUGUGUAUAUAAUUUUGCAAGCAUAGAGUUAUAAAGAAGACUUAGACUAUUCAUGCAUGCAGUUCUUGAAGUUGGGUCACUGUUUUCUAGAAUAGUUAAAACAUUUUAUAACUACUUUUAUGACCACACAUUUUAUUGGUUUUAUUUUUCAUUUCAAAGAAAGUCAAAAGUAUUACUUUAGUGUUAAACAAAACUUAAUGCACAGAAGUACCCAAAAUAAAAAGAAAAAAUCCUUCCUGUUUUACUUCCCUAGGGGUAACCACAGUUAGCACUUGAGUGUUUUUCUUUCCAUACCUUUGUUUCCGUUUGUGUCUUUGUUUUAGUUUUAGGUUUUGCACCUACAAUUACAUAGAUACUAGAAUAUGUAUUUAUAUGAACAUAGAAACAUAGAACAUAUGGGUUUUUCCCAAAAAUACGUGCUUUGCAACUUGCUUUUAAAAAAUUUGACAGUAUGUCAUAAUCAUUUUUCCAUAUGUAUACACAAAUGUAUAUGCUUCAUUGUGAUGGCUACAUAGUAUUCAGAGCAUGGAUGUAAUUUAUUUUAGCACCUCACUUUUGACAGAUAUUUCAGUUAUUUCUGAUUUUUACUAAUAUAAAUGUAAUGACACUGUUUUUAGCAAUGUGAUGGGCAAAUGAUGGUGUCUCAUUUUGUUUAAUUUGAAUUUCCCUUCUUAAUCACUGAGAUGGAACAUCUUUGCCUAUGUUUAUUAGCCAUUUUUAUUUCCUCUCCUGGGAAUUGUUUAUAUCCUGAGUUGCUUACUGAACUGUGGACAUGAAAAUGUAACCAGAACAUACAUGUAUGUAGUUAUAUACUAAGGGAUGUUUCAAAACCUCACUCCUGUCUUGGAGUGUGUGUUCUUGUUCCUUCCUAGCAUGUCAGCUUCCUCUUUUUAUGGCUUGUAGAUCACCAGAUUAGCAACAUUUGUUCUUUGUUCAGAACAACUAGCUAGGGGCAACAUGUAAUUUACAAAGAAAUGUAGAGAUUACAAUCUACUGAUGGCAAAGAGAAGUAAUAGAUAUAAAACAUACAUGGAGCAAAUCUAACAAAAGAUAAUGACAAUUGCUUUCUUUUGAGCAGUGCUUUGCAGUGUUAAAGAAGAUGUGUGUAUAAAUAGCUAAAAUAUUAAGCAAAAAGUUAAGUGCUAUAGCAUCAUAAUAGGGAUUCCAGGGGAAACAGAUAUAAGUCGAGAGUGUGGGGACUGAUAUUGUGGAACCAGAAAGAACUCCAAGAAGGAUGGUAGAGAGAGAUAAAAGAAGGGAUGGGAAGCCUUCUUCGAAGUGGAAGAUAAAAAUGUGAAGAGAAAGGACAAAAGAAGGACCAGCUCCCAUUAGAUUGAGCACAGCAUUUAGAAUGCCUGGGAAGUGACACAGGAGUGAAGACUCCCCUAUUAACCUUUCUUCUGAGCACCAUACUCCUGUUAAGUCAGUCUUAAGGCUGUGCCAUUUUUAUCAGCCAUAUCUCACUAGUGGUUUAUCUGGGGUUUGAGUUGAACUGAAAUCUUCUAAUGUUUCCACACAGACAUUGUCUGUGACCACAGAAGGAAUACACUACAUGUGAACCAUUCUAUCCCUGAUUUUUAGUCACUGUGACACCCAUUAACUCAUUGAGUCCUUUAUUAUCUAAUGUGACAGCAUUCUGAAGAUAGGUACUGCCCUCCCAGUAUGCAUUAGGGCUGUGGUAGACGGUAAGGAGACAAAGGUGAACGUGGCAGGUUUCCUUCCUUGUGUAACCUCAAGUUUAUUACAGGUGGGAUAAGUGGAGUGCUUAGGUACUUGGCUAGAACAUGUGAGUACCCCAGUCUCAGAGGUAGUGUGUCUGGAUUUAAAUCUGUUUCAAGGCCUGAUCUUCACUCUUGUUAAAAGGGUUAGCCUGCAAAGGUUCUUUACCACUUGUAUGAGUCUGGUGAGACAGAGCACUCAUACAUACCAAGUUAGGCAAACAGAUGUAAUACUCACAGAUAAGCAGCAAGGAUAAACUAAAGCCUAGGAUCCAUGACAAGCUGGUCCUCCAGACCUCAGGAAAGCCGCCCAGGGUGGGUGGAGUCUCAUCUGCACAGAUCCCAUGUCACACUACAGCUAAGGAAACCGAAAGCACACCACCCUGGGCUUUUAUAUCCUGGGAGACAUGGGACUUGCUGAGUGCAAGUGUCACAGAAUAUAGCCUGGUGGUUCGGGGCCUUUCUCCUUAUCUCAGGAUGUCAUAUUCUCAGUGCAAGAAAUCUGGGUGGAUCAAGGUUAUGCAGAGACCUGUCCUCCUGCAUAGCCUUGUUGGGAAGGACCAACAGGUGGCUUGCUGGUGCCUGAGACACAAGAGACUGGUGAGAUGAGCUGAGAAUGGGAGAUAUUUAAUGGGUGCUUACUCUGUGUCACGUGACCUUCUUGCUGCUGAACAAAGUAGAUAAAUUCCUUGCCUGAAAGUAAUUAAGGAAGGGGAGAAUGGAUACUGGAGAAAAUGGUGAUCCAUCACAGCCCACUCCUUUGGCCCUCCAUGUAGCCAGGUUCACCUUUUGUCUCAGUAAUGGAGUGUAAUCACCACAUACCAACAACCCAAAGUCCUGUCUGGGGGCCACAUCCGUCCCCAAGUCCAGGAUCUCUGGGUGAUGUGCUGUCCUCUCUGUCAAGUGACAGGGUGGCUUUUGCCUCGCACGCCUGCAUCCAAUACUUAACGAUGUUGUAGAAUGGUGUGUCUGCAAUAAAAUCUCUUUCACAAAUGGAAAA